This 774-nucleotide ribosomal RNA is filed under the name uncultured fungus. RNAcentral describes it as "eukaryotic LSU rRNA". It matches the Rfam family "Eukaryotic large subunit ribosomal RNA", at positions 30 to 821 of the family's 3401-position model. Lineage: Eukaryota; Fungi. The record is from RNAcentral.
GAACUUAAGCAUAUCAAUAAGCGGAGGAAAAGAAACCAACAGGGAUUGCCUCAGUAACGGCGAGUGAAGCGGCAACAGCUCAAAUUUGAAAUCUGGGUCUUUCAGGCUCCGAGUUGUAAUUUGUAGAAGAUGCUUCGGGUGUGGCUCCGGUCUAAGUUCCUUGGAACAGGACGUCAUAGAGGGUGAGAAUCCCGUACGUGACUGGUUGCCUUCGCCCAUGUGAAGCUCUUUCGACGAGUCGAGUUGUUUGGGAAUGCAGCUCAAAAUGGGUGGUAAAUUUCAUCUAAAGCUAAAUAUUGGCCAGAGACCGAUAGCGCACAAGUAGAGUGAUCGAAAGAUGAAAAGCACUUUGGAAAGAGAGUUAAACAGUACGUGAAAUUGUUGAAAGGGAAGCGCUUGCAACCAGACUUGCACGCUGCUGAUCAUCCGGGGUUCUCCCCGGUGCACUCGGUGGUGUUCAGGCCAGCAUCGGUUUGGGUGGUUGGAUAAAGGCCUUGGGAAUGUAGCUUCUUUCGGGGAGUGUUAUAGCCCUCGGUGCAAUGCAGCCUACCCGGACCGAGGACCGCGCUUCGGCUAGGAUGCUGGCGUAAUGGUUGUAAGCGACCCGUCUUGAAACACGGACCAAGGAGUCUAACAUCUAUGCGAGUGUUUGGGUGUCAAACCCAUACGCGUAAUGAAAGUGAACGGAGGUGAGAACCCUUAAGGGUGCAUCAUCGACCGAUCCUGAUGUCUUCGGAUGGAUUUGAGUAAGAGCAUAGCUGUUGGGACCCGAAA